GACGAACGCUGGCGGCGUGCUUAACACGUGCAAGUCGAACGGUGAAGCGAGUGCUUGCACUCGUGGAUCAGUGGCGAACGGGUGAGUAACACGUGAGUAACCUGCCCAUCACUCUGGGAUAAGCACUGGAAACGGUGUCUAAUACUGGAUACGACCAACCCUUGCAUGGGGUGUUGGUGGAAAGAUUUAUCGGUGAUGGAUGGACUCGCGGCCUAUCAGCUUGUUGGCGGGGUAAUGGCCCACCAAGGCGACGACGGGUAGCCGGCCUGAGAGGGUGACCGGCCACACUGGGACUGAGACACGGCCCAGACUCCUACGGGAGGCAGCAGUGGGAAUAUUGCACAAUGGGCGAAAGCCUGAUGCAGCGACGCCGCGUGAGGGAUGACGGCCUUCGGGUUGUAAACCUCUUUCAGCAGGGAAGAAGCGAAAGUGACGGUACCUGCAGAAGAAGCACCGGCUAACUACGUG
Molecule: ribosomal RNA, 468 nt
Filed under: uncultured bacterium
Lineage: Bacteria
Description: partial 16S ribosomal RNA
Rfam family: Bacterial small subunit ribosomal RNA
Source: RNAcentral